CAGUAAUUUAUUUCUGCUACAUUUGUUAUUCGUAAUUUCAUAAACACAUAACCAUAAUUAAUGUAGCAGAUGUUUUGCAUUAAGCCUUGGUGUACGCCCAUUAUUAACUGUGGGUUGUUAAGAGGUGUAUAAAAGCCUGUCGGAGAAUAGUGGAAGUUGCGUCAUCGUCCAGCUGACUCCCUGUGGUGGGUGUGUCACUGCCGUGCGUUUGGCUGGUGUCUGUUCGGUUGCUGUUGCACCAUAGAGUGGCUACUGUGGGGCGUUGGGAGCUUUUGAGAAGUCGCGUUUCCUAGAGCUGAACUCUCCCUCGUGAUUCUGUUGACACUUAUGCGCGUUCCCGUGACUGCUGUCUUCCCAAUCGUUAGUUAUUAAUACGGACGCCUGGCUUUGCCGGAGGGAUGACUGGCAUCUCGUGUAGCGAUUGCACUGUGGAUUGAGCGUCUUCACCUGCCCUUGACACUUGCUGGAUGCUGCUGUUUUGUUUCUGUUAAUUUAGUUUUGAUUCUGUUUUGUUUC
Non-coding RNA from Danio rerio (zebrafish), 516 nucleotides. Lineage: Eukaryota; Metazoa; Chordata; Actinopteri; Cypriniformes; Danionidae. The record is from RefSeq and is a predicted model, not a curated record.